CGGCGAAUGCGAACUCGUAAGCGAAGGAUGACGACGCGGAGGGCCUAUUCUCCGCCCCACACUCUGCGCCCGCCUCCAACUAAGGUCUCUGCUCCCACCUCCAAGGUCCCUCCUCUCUCCGAUUCCCCGUAUCUAUGUUGCCCUAGUGAUUUGUCGCACGUCUUUUUUGAGAAAAAUCUGUACAUAUGGUUUCCAAAGUUCCAAUCUGGAUGGUUAAAAUGACGCUCACAGUUAAAAUUUUAGAAGUUUGACCCAAGACAUGUCCAAAACUCCACUUGUUUGUGAUAUGGAGAGAGUAAUAUGUGAACAUCAGUGCAUUCUAUCGGAUUCGUUGAUAGUAACCUUGUUUAUAUUAGUACUAACUUUGUACCUACAUUUGGGACGGAGGGAGUAUUUUUUUUUGCGAAUGAACCUUGUUUAUAUUAGUAAGUACGUACAAUUGCUUCAAAUCAGAAAUGAGAAUCCUCUGAUCUUCCAUAUCGCCAGUUUUGAGAGAUGGGCAGUGCAAUAUUCUACUGUAAUUUACAGCAAAUCCAGUGUCUAGGUAUGGUAGUAUUUCCACUAAUCUCAUGUCUUGUGGACCCAAUACAGUUUAUUCAGAAAUUAAAAAGGACAGACGCAAAUUAUUUUACAGUCACCUUUUUGCUUGUUUCCAACACACGGACACGGUCGUCAAGUUGUACAGUUGGACCAAUCAAAAGUUAUGAACUUUCAAAUCCCCAUCACAUCUGCUUCCAAGAUAGUUCCUGAUGCUCACUUGACAAAAGAACAUCUUACAGUAAAAAGCAGUUGGUGCACUUGAAAAACUGUUUGAAUCUUACUGAUCAUCGUAUGUUUCAUUAGGCUUCCAUUUAGAUAUAGCAUAAAGUACUCUCCCUUUCCAUCCUUGUAGCAGCCAACCGCGAUCUUCAACAGCAAAGAAUUCCUUGUGAUAAUGUGAGUUGUUCAUGUGUACUCUUUUCAAGAAGGCUGGAUCCACAGGAAGCUGCUGGAACCCAGCCUUGAGAAAUCUUGCUUGCCACUGCCUGUAACUUUCUGGCCUCUCAGUUCUGUCUGCGCCCUCACAUGCUAUGAUAUUAAGUGCAUCUGUCCCAAAUCGGAUCCUCUCAAUCAUCUUUCUUGCCUUAUUAUCCCGUGGAACAUUUGCAUCAAGCAUAUCAAACAUUGGAGAGUAAUGGAGCAUAACCUCUUUGAAUCGUUGUAUGAAGAAGGGAGAACUGUGUAACCCAUUCAUUGUGCCAGAAAUAAAAAUCUUUGGGUUCAUCCUCCUCAUAGUUUUCAUUACCUCAUCCCUUGCGCUAUUUAUUCCUGCGGUUUCAUGACCAAGAUUCUUCAUCCGGAAUAUGCAGUUGAUUAUGAGAACUUCAUCCUCGUCAAUGUUAAGAUCCUCAAUUUUGAUGGUCUCCCAUCUUGAAGCUGCAAUGCCCUGAUACUGAAAAGGUACCUUGAACAUGUUUGCAUAAUCAGCCAACCGCUUCCCUGUCUCCUCAAUCAUUUCGCAGGGGUGUAAACCUGGCUGGGGAAUGUCUAUACCUGUGAUCCGAAGCUUAGGGGCUCCCUCUUCUUGCUGUGAAAACCUCUGAAUCAUUAAUGGCCACUGAAGGCCGAAGCCGAUACCGAAAUCAACGAUGUGCACCCUUGGUUGCCCUUGUGAAACACCAAGAAUUGCUUGGCUGGCAAAGUAGUGUGACGUCCUGUCGAAAGGGCAGGAUGCAUGAAAAAGACUGUACGCAACUAACCAAUCUGUUCUACUUGUUCGCCUCUCCAUGAGGUUGCGAUAAACCUGACCCCCAGUCCCAGCCAAGCGUGCCGCGAGGCCAUCUGCCAAGUAAAAUGCUAGUCUCUGAGUACAAUCACCAUCUGCUGAGGAGUGUUCUCUUAUCUUCUUUAGAAGUUCAUUGGCGAACAGGUGGUUGUCUUCUGCCACAGCUUGUGCGCACUGGAAGAGGAGAGCCCUGAUAUCAACGAACUCUUGCCUCUGUUGCUUCCUAGCCCAUAGCUUCUGACGCCCUUUGCUCCAGCCUUUCAGUGUGUUAUUGCUUCCUGUCUCUGCCAUCCUUUCCCGCAGUCUUCUUAUUUGGUCGGAACGACCAUAGCAUAGCAGAACUCGGUCGAAAUUUUCAUUUCGAAUUAUUGCACAAGUGGUGAUGGCAUGAUGUUUAUUGCUCCUUCCUUGAAAGAUACCCCAGCCCCUUUGGUCUGCCACCUCAAAGAUUGUGUUUUCACCCCUCUCUCCUACUUUUGCCUUCGUAGUCAGUUGGGAAAUAUGUAGUAUGUCAUUCUUGAAACAUAUCACCACGUUAUCAAUACUUGGAGCAAAUAUAUUUUCCUCGUCGACACUUCUCUGACGAUGCAAGUUAGGGAAGCCAGAUCCAGAAGUCCAUCCAACACUUAUCAAUGGCUGGUUUGGUUGAGAAAGACUCCUAUUGCAAAUAUCUGGACUCAACGGGGUUGUCAAGGGCUGUACCAAGCUGUAACUGGAACAGUCAUUACUGAAGCUAGUGCUCCAGAGCCUCUUGUAACAGCUGGUCCCACUCUUAUCAGGGCUGUCUUGUUUGUUGUUGCUAUACAAAGCCGGUGUGUAUACCUGUCCAAGAAUGUCACGGAAUGGCUGCUCAGUAGCCUGGAUAGCUGCCUCCCCUUGGCAUAUGUCGACCCUCUCGUCGACGUCUUCCAUUAGCAUCUGGCUUAUGUAGUGAAGAGCAUCGUUUGAUCUGAUCUGGCGGUGCUCAGGGCUACACCCUGCGCCGAUCUGAAAUUGGUUUUGUCCAAGGCUGCUGUUGACACUGCACAACCCAGGGCCAGUGACUCCACCGAGCAGAUCUGUGCUUGCUUGGUUGGCUGGGGAAAGAACUGUAGAGGGUGGACCACUCAGGUCAUAGUUGUACAUGGUGAGUUGCUGCUGGGAAGAGGAAUCACCAUCGUUUGGUUGGUCGGUUGGUGUGACGGUGUCCAGAUUGUCACGGAGAGGCUCAAUCGCCAUUGUGGAAAGUCUGAUUUCCACCUCAAUAUGAGAUAUAUGAUUCUUCUUUGUCCUACAGCAAAUGAACCAGCUUGCUUCCUGGAAGAAGGAAAAAGGGAAAUGGAAGCUAAAUUAUGUGAGAGGAAUUUCGGUUCAGCUUGCUCAUGUGCUACAAUCUAGAAUGUCUGUGAAACGGAUUUCUGCCCAGCGAGCUCCCUUUUUUUUUCCUUCACCUUAUGCUUCUUCCUUUUUAUUAGAGAUUCAGCUUAUGAUUGUUUUGGCAUGCCAUACUGAUCGAAAACUAAUUCCAAAGGCUUGCAGACACGAGAAUAACUACUUUACCCGGUUAAAUAUAGAAUCUAUGACGCGCUUAAUACCACUGCUCAGUUUUAUCUGCAGGAGGCUUCGCAAGUAGCAAAAGUAGGGAAUCACACACCUUGGUUAUUUAGCAGCAGCAGCAGCAGCAGAUCCAGUGCUCUGAGAAGAGUAGUGGGGAUGUGGGCUAUGAAAGAAUAGUAGUGAGCUUGUGGUGUUGAUGUGAACUAAAUUUGUCGUUCCUCUACCUUAUGCCUUUGUUCCCAACGUCAUAAGAUUGUGACAGAGAAUGGUCCAGAGUACAAGCAACUAUCCUGUCGAUUAGUUCUAGGCCCGGCUGCGCAUCAGAGGUAUAAAAAAGUGUUUAUUAGGAAUGCUUUCCUGGGUAUCAACAUUAUUAGGGUCCCUAAUUGAGUCGUUAAAAAAUUCUGAGGUAAUCGAAAGGAGAUGCACUAUUUGAAGAAAAUUUUCUUUCUUUCCCACUUGAUAGUUGAUAUAUUCUGAGAUGCACUAGUUGAUAUAUAUAAUGGUCUUGGUCGAAUUUUUUGAGGAUAGUUUGUUGUACUUCAUCUCAGUAAAAUAAUCAGAUUUUUUUUGGUUAUCUUAUUAGUUCAAAGUUGAAUUGUUGGUGCCUAGCUAGUCUGAGACUUAUGUUCUGCCGUACCUGGAGUAUUUUACCAAGGCUUGAGUGAUACAGUUGUACUAGUUGAUUAUUUUAAGAUGCACUAGCUGAUAUAUAUAAUGGUCUUGGUCGAAUUUUUCGAGGAUAGUUUGUUGUACUUCAUCUCAGUAAAAUAAUCAGAUUUUUUAUUAUCUUAUUAGUUGAAAGUUGAAUUGUUGGUGCUUAGCUAGUCUGACACUAUGUUCUGCCGUACCUGGAGUAUUUUACCAAGGCUUGAGUGAUACAGUUGUACCAAAUGUUUAAGGAGUGUAAAUGCCUCUGAAUUUUAUUUACAACAUCGACAGGAUUGUUAAUUAUUAUGUCAUGAAAAUGCACAUCCAGAUUCAAUCUGUAAUACUAGAAGAACAGGCCAAAAUAAAUACUAGAAGAAAAUAAAACAAAAAUCUGUUAAAAUUUUGGACGUAAUUGAAAGAAAAAAGGAGGCACUAUUCAAAAAACUUGUAUUUUUUUUCAUUUGGUAGUUGAUAUAUAUAAUGGUUGAAUUUUUGGAGUGUAGUUUGUUGUACUUUAGUAUCUCAUUAAACCAUCAGUUUUUUCUGUAAUUAUUUUCUUUGUGUUUCGAGAUUGGUAUAGUGGUAUCAUAUAAAGGCUUUGAGAUUGGUCACUGUGAUAUAUUAGACGUGUUUGCGGCCAUUAGUAACUACUCCCUCCGUUCCUAAAUAUUUGUCUUUCUAGACAUUUCGAAUGACUACUACAUAUGGAUGUAUGUAGACAUAUUUUAGAGUGUAGAUUCAUUCAUUUUGCUCCGUAUGUAGUCACUUGUUGAAAUGCCUAGAAAGACAAGUAUUUAGGAACGGAGGGAGUAAUAGAUUUCACCUUCUUGUCAUUUGGAGGGCUCCGUCAACAUCAACAACAUUAAUUAGUUUGAUAAAUUACAUCUUGGCAUUUAAAGGGCUCCGUCAAACAUUGGUGGGCUAGUAGAACCAGCAUGAACAUUCCAUACAGAAAAGCUAUGGCCUCGCCCGCGUCUUCCGGCACAAAAGUGUGCUGCCCACAAUAGUCCUAAACAUCAUCAUGGAGGAGGCCCAGCUAUGGGUCGCCACGGGUGCAAAGAAGCUUGGUAAAAUUGUAUUGCGCGAGUAAUUGUCAUGCAGUGUUGUAAGGGAUGAUUGUAGAACUCUAUUCUCAGACAAAUCUUUUGCCCCCAUUUAAAAAAUAUAUAUGUAUCACGCAGCAAAAGAACAAAUGUUGUUUACCCUGGAGAAAAUUACAGAAAUGAACAGGCAGUGUUUGUACUUUCUUUUAUUUCAAAGAGAGAUAAGCAUCAUUAUUAUUUUUUGUGUGUGAGAAAGGAAAGAUAAUAUUAUUUGAGUGCAAUCACCAUCUUCACUAACUACCUAUUUUUUUCAUAGUGUGUGAUGUAUUUUCAUAGUGUGCUGCCACCAUCUUCACUAACUACCUACUUUUUUAGAAACCACAAACUACAUAGUUUGUGCUUGGUUUUCACCUAGGCUGUUGAAUGUGACCUUGUAUUGAUGCCUAUGUCACCAACCUUGUAUUGAUGCCUAUGUCACCAACCAUUGUAAAUUUUCUACAUCGGAAAGAAAUUCUUAACAUGAAAAGUUGUGCAUGUCACAGUUAAAUAUAGAUGCAUUUAAAACUCACUUAGAAUGCGCUCAUGCUUGUUGCAUGAUAGAUGAUUCUCAUGCAUAGAUCGAACGGAUGCUAGUGGUACUGGAUCAAGCUAGUAACUCACUUAGAAGUUUGUUUUAUCACUCUCAUUUUUUUAAGCAACUUUUUUUUAGCAAACCACUCUCAUGUAUAUUAGGAUGAUGAGCUGGCAGCUCAAAAAAAAUAGGAUGAUGAGCUGGCGUCAUAGGUUUUUUUUAGGACUAGCUGGCGUCAUAGGUGAAGCCUAACAUGACACAGCCCAGGGCCCAGGCCCAGUUAAAACACGACCCAGCAGUUCAGCAGGUGCGUAAACGCUCUCCGAAGGCGGAGACGCCUCCUCCUCUACGGUUCUCACUCCUCUCCUCCGUGACCUCUCUGUCCAUGGCCGCCACGAGGAAGCUCGGCAGCUCGCCGGCGGCGGCGGCGGCGAAUGGGAAGGCGUAGGCGAAGGAAGACGACGAGGAGGGGCUCUUCUCCUCGCGCUCCUUCGCCGACCUCGGCCUCCACCCCACCCUCUGCGCCCUUCUCCAAGGUCCCUCCCCCUCUCCGAUUCCCCGUAUUUCUGUGGCCCUAGUGAUUUGGUAGUCCCCUCGGGAACCAGGAUCUCACGUCUUUUCUGAGAAAAAUAUGUACAUAUGAUUUUCAAAUUUCUAAUCUGGAUGGUUAAAAUGAUGUUCGUAGUUAAAUUUUUAAAAGUUUGACUCGAGGCAUGUCCAAAACUCCACUUUUUUGUGAUAUGGAGAGAGUUUGGAUUCGUGCAUAGGAACCUUGUUUAUAUUAAGUACAAUUGCUUCAAAUAAGAAAUGAGAAUCCUCUGAUCGUCCAUAUCGCCAGUUUUGAGGGAUGGGCAGUGCAAUAUUCUACUGUAAUUUACAGCGAAUCCAGUGCCCAGGUAUGGUAUUUCCACUAAUCGCAUGUCUUGUAGGCCCAAUACAAUAACCAAGUACACAUAGCUAAAAGAACGCCAGAUUCACUUACGGAACCCUUUGUUCAGAAAUUAAAUGGAGCGACAGAAGCAAAGUGUUGCACAGUUGCCUUUUGCUGCAUAUAUGGUCGCGUAGUUGCGCAGUUGGACCAAAUCAAAGCAUGUUGAAUAUCAACACUCAAAUCACCAUCCCAUCUUGUUCCAAGAUAUACUAGCAUAAAGUAGCGUUGCGUUGAGAAUCAUGCAAGUAGCUACAGAGGCGCUAAGUUGCCGAUAUGUUUGUGCACUUGAAAAACUGUUUGAAUCUUACUGAUCAUCAUAUGUUUCAUCAGGUUUCCAUUUAGAUAUAGCAUACAUCACUCUCCCUUUCCAUCCUUGUAGCAGCCAGCCGCAAUCUUCAACAGCAAAGAAUUCUUCAUGAUAAUGUAAGUUCUUCAUGUGUACUAUGUUCUUUAAGAUGGCCUGAUCCACGGGAAGCUGCUGGAACCCAGCCUUGAGGAACCUUCCUUGCCACUGCCUGUAACUCUCUGGCCUCUGAGUCCUUUCUGCAUCCUCACAUGCUAUUAUGUUAAGUGCAUCCCGCCCAAAUGGGAUCCUCUCAAGCAUCUUUCUUGCUUCACUAUCCCGUGGAAUAUUUGCAUCAAGCAUGUCAAACACUGAAGAGUAAUGGAGCAUAACUUCUUUGAAUCGUUGUAUGAAGAAGGGAGAACUAUGUAACACGUUCACAGUGCCAGAAAUGAAAACCUUUGGGUUCAUCCUCCUCAUAGUUUUCAGCACCUCGUCCCUUGCACUAUUUAUGCCAUCGGUUUCAUGACCAAGAUUCUUCAUCCGGAAUAUGCAGUUGAUUAUGAGAACUUCAUCCUCGUCAAUGUUAAGAUCCUCAAUUUUAACGCUGUCCCAUCUUGAAGCAGCAAUGCCCUGAUACUGAAAAGGUACCCUAAACAUGUUUGCAUAAUCAGCCAACCGCUUCCCUGUCUCCUCGAUCAUUUCGCAGGGGCGAAAACCUGGCUGAGCAACGUCUAUACCUGUGAUCCGAAGCGUAGGGGCUCUCUCUUGUUGCUGUGCAAACUUCUGAAUCAUUAAUGGCCACUGAAAGCCAUAGCCGAUGCCAAAAUCAAUGAUGUGCACCCUUGGUUGCCCUUUGGAGACAUCAAGAAUAGCUUGGCUCGCAAAGUAGUAUGACGUCCUGACAAAAGGGCAAGCUGCAACAAAAAGGCUGUAAGCCUCUAACCAAUCCGUGGGACUUGUUAGCCUCUCGAUGAGGGUGCGAUAAACCUGAUUCCCGCUCCCAGCCAAGCGUGCCUCAAGGCCGUCCGCCAAGUAAAAUGCCAGUCUCUGAGUGCAAUCACCAUCUGCUGAAGAGUGUUGUCUUAUCUUUAAUAGCAGUUCACUGGCCAACAGGUAGCUGCCUUCUGCCACAGCUUGUGCGCAAUGGAUGAGGAGAGUCCUGAGAUCAACCAACUCUUUCCUCGGUUGCAUCCUAGCCCUUAGCUUCUGACGGCCUUUGCUCCGGCCUUUCAGUGGGUUCUUGUUUCCUGUCUCUGCCAUCCUUUCUCGCAGUCUUGUUAUUUGAUCAAAACUCUUCCAACCAUAGCAUAGCAGAAAUCGGUCGAAAUUUUCGUUUCGAGUUAUUGCACAAGUGGUGAAGACAAGAUGUUUAUUGCUCCUUGCUUCCAAGAUAUCCCAGUUUUCGCUCCUCUGUCCUACCGUCUCCUUUAUAGUCAGUUUGGAAAUAGAAAGUAUGUCAUUCUCUAAAUAUAUCACCAGCUUACCAAUACGCGGAGCAAACAUCGUUGCCUCCUCGACAUCUCUCUGACAAUGGAAGGCAGGGAAACCAGAUCUAGAAGUCGGUCCAACACUUAUCAACGGACUAUUUUGUAGAGAAAGACUCCUAUUGCAGGUAUAUGGACUCAACAGGUUUGUCAAGGGCUGUAACACGCUGUAACUGGAACAGUUAUUACUGAAGCUUGUGCUCCAGAGCCUCUUGUAACAGCUGGUACCACUCUUAUCAGGGUUGUCUGGUUUGUUGUUGCUAUGCAUUGGCGGAUAGUUAGUAGCCGGCGCGUAUACCUCCCCAAGAAUGUCACGGAAUGGCUUCUCAGCAGCCUGGAGAGCAGCCUCCCCUUGGCAUCUGUUGACCCUCUCGUCGACCUCUUCCAUCAGCAUCUGUCUUAUGUAGUGAAGGGCAUCAUUUGAUCUGAUCCGGCGGUGCUCAGGGCUACCGCCUGCAGCAAUCUGAAAUUGGUCUUGUCCAUGGUUGCUGUUGACACUUGCUUGGUUGGCUGGGGAGAGAGCUGUGGAGUGUGGACCACUCAGGUCGUGGUUGUACACGGUAAGUUGUUGCUGGGAAGAGAAAUCACCCUUGUAUGAUUGGUUGGUUGCUACGACAGUCUUCAGAUUGUCACAGGGAGGUUCAGUUGCCAUUGUGGAAAGUCUGAUUUCCACCUCAAUAUGAGAUAUAUGAUGCUUCUUUGUCCCACAGCAAAUGAAUCAGCUUCUUUCCUGGACGAAGAAACAGGGAAAUGGAAACUAAAUUAUGUGAGACGAAUCACCUUGCUCAUGUCCUAUGUGAGACGAAUUAUGUGAGCAAGUAGCAAAAGUAGGGAAGCACACACCUUGGUUAUUAAGCAGGAGCAGCAGCAGCAGCAGCAUCAACAUCAGAUCCAAUGCUUAGAGAGAAGAGUAGCGAGGAUGUGGACUAUGAAAGAAGAGUAGUGAGGUUGUGGUGUUGAUGUGAGCUAAAAUUGUCGUUUCUCUACCUUAUGGCUUAGUUCCCAAUGUCAUGAGAUUGUGACGGAGAAUGGUUCAGAUUACAAGCAAUUAUUCUGUCGAUUAGUUCUAGGCCCGGCCGUGCACCAGACCUAUAAAAAGGGUUUAUUAGGAGCUGGCCUGGGUUUCAGUCAUUAUUAAGGUUCCUAAUUGUAUUGUUAAAAAAAGGAGAUGCAUAAUGAAAAUAGCACUUAGCUGGUAUUCAAGGAAAAAAGAAGGCACUAUUCAAUGAAAUUUGACAUAAAAAUGUCUUACACACACUGUGUUUUGGGACGGAGGGAGCAUCAUGGAAGUGGGUGUGGUUCUUUUGUUUUCUUUGAGGGGGAGGCGGGUCUAAUUUUUCAUGAGUGAGUUCUGGCGUGACCAGGUGGGCCUAACGUGACACGUCCCAGGGCCCAGGGCCCAGUCAUUAUUAACGUGUUGAAAGUUGUCUUAGUUGGAGGUCAGAAAAUGGAAGUUGCUUAUUUUAGUUGAAAUGUUAGAAUAUUUGCAGAAAUGAAACAUUGGGGAGGAAACGCACCUGCACGAAAUGAAAAAAAAAUACUGAUUUGAAAAUUACUAGGUGGAAAAUGUGUUGAAAGUUUUCUCAGAUGGGUCUACAAAAAUACAAGUUGACUAUAUUCUUUGAAAUUUGAGAAUAUUUCCAAAUAGGGAUGAAAAGUACUUGCCCCUAAAAAAUCUAAACAUUGGGAAUGAAAUGUUGGGGAGAAAAGAAAUACUGGGUGAAUUUUUUGUUGAAAGUUGUCUUAGUUGGAAGUCAAAAAAUGAGAAUUGUAUAAAUUUUGGUUGAAAUUUGAGAAUGUUUCCUUAAAGGAUUAGGGACGAAAGGUACCUGCCUAGAAAAACGAAAUAUUAGGGUGAAAAGAAAUAGUAGGUGGAAAUGGUAUUGAAAGUUUUCUAAGGUGGAUGACGAAUAAUAGAAGUUGUCUACAUUUUGAAUUGAGUUAAAUUCGUAUGUGAAAAUAGUUUCUAAUGAUAUAUAUUUUUAUAGCUACCAACAUCUCAUAUACUCCCUCUCUUCCAGUUUAUUGGGCUCAUCUUAGACCUACUUAGGUGCCAAACAACAUAUUAACACUACUAGUAGGAGGGACGUGCACUGCACGUGGUGUCCUGGUCGAACUGCAGGUAAGAUAUCUGUUGCUUCAUAAAAAAAAUCUCUGUUUACACGAUAGGUACUACAAAGUCAGCCACAUACGAUCUUGAAUGAGAAAACUUCUAGUCACCAUCACGUGAGGAUGCAAGGUGUGCGCAGUAGCCGUGCAGUGUCUCCUAUUGGUCCAGAAAAAUCCCGUCCACCUCGUUUUGGCGGGCUACUGGAUGGAGCGAAUCCCAGUGACUACAGUCGUUGGAUCACUCGAGUUUGCUAUGAUAAACGAUAGGGAUCCACUCCAUAGAAGAAAUCAACGGCUAAGAAGUGCCUCUCAUCAGGAUGGAUGGCUAAUCCCAAAUUCAAAAUUUAUUGUACUAUAGUAGUAGAGAUAUGCAUGGCCCUCUCACUCCUUCAUGCAUUGGUUUAUUCUAAAUUGAGAAUAAAAAUUUGACAAAAAUUAAUGUGGAUACAAUUAUAUUUGCAUGUUCCAAAGACAAUGAGCCUUACAAUUUGACUUUUUUGUUCAUGGAGUAUUAUUAAUUUUAUCAAUUAGCAAAGCCAACCUCGAAGAACGUACUAGGUGCUAUAUACUUGGAUGGAUGAGAGUCUAAACUUAAACACUUGCCAUGCAAUUCAAAUGUGCCUUUGAGAUUUUAGAAUUUUACUGGGUUGAGGCACAAGAUUUAAUGGAUGGAGGCCCGUAAAAUCUAACCCGAUUAAGGGAUAGAUCAGUAGGGACAUCUUCAUUCAUACUCGCUCUGUCCCAUAAUAUAGUGCGCAACGCAUAUUGGUUUUCAUGAAAGUCAAAGGUCAUAAAUUUUGACAAAAUUUAUAGAGAAAUUGAUCUUUCUUCGGUAAAGGGUGGAUUUUAAAUCAAAAUUCAAAACAUUGGUAAAGGUAAAAAUAACAAAUUCAACACUGAAUAGUAGAUGCCAUAAGUUGGGCUUUAGAUUUGGCCCAUUAUCACAUUGAUGUCAAAUUUAUCAUUUUUGUAUCUCAUGCAACGUUUCGAAUUUUCAUAUGAUAUUUUAUGACAACAUAUAUUAAUAUUGUGUCAAUGUAGAUUGUUUUCAGAUUUUUAAAGAUAUUUUAAUAUGCGCUACGGCGUCCGGGUGCACCGGUGCAGAAGAUACAUUCCGGGAGAAGGGUCUUAUUUUUCUGGAACUAGUGCAAUAUUUGUGUGUUAAUCAUGUGAUUAGUGCAAUAUUUGGUAUGAUAUUAAUUACAUGUUAAACACGUUUAACGCUCGUCAUUGGAGCAGUCUAGGUCGUUGGAUUGACUUAGUUCGAUGGCCGAGAUCAGUUGGAUCUGCCCCUUUGGAUUUUUUUUAUAUUGGUAUAUAGAUAUAGAUAUAGAUAUAGAUGAAUUCUGGCGUGAUCAGGUGGGCCUAACGUGACACGGCCCAGGACCCAGGCCCCAGGCCCAGUUAAAACAAGAACCAGGGUGCGUAAACGCUCUCUUCUAUCCUCCACGACCUCUCCAUGGCCACCAAGAGGAAGCCCGGCAGGUCGGCGACGGCGGCGACGCGGAGGGCCUAUUCUCCUCGCGCUCCUUUGCCGACCCCACACUCUGCAAGGUCCCUCCGACACCCCCCCCCCCNNNNNNNNNNNNNNNNNNNNNNNNNNNNNNNNNNNNNNNNNNNNNNNNNNNNNNNNNNNNNNNNNNNNNNNNNNNNNNNNNNNNNNNNNNNNNNNNNNNNNNNNNNNNNNNNNNNNNNNNNNNNNNNNNNNNNNNNNNNNNNNNNNNNNNNNNNNNNNNNNNNNNNNNNNNNNNNNNNNNNNNNNNNNNNNNNNNNNNNNNNNNNNNNNNNNNNNNNNNUCUAUGGCCCUGGUGGUUUCGCUCUCUGAACGGAACUCGUCCCCUAAUGUCGUCCCCAUCUUUUUCGAGAAAAAAACGAUGUGUAUGAUUUUCAAAUUUCCAAUCUGAAUUAUCAGAAUGGCAUUCGUAGUUUUAGUAGCAGAACUUUGCCAGAAGACAUGUCCAAAACGUCACCCACAUAGCUGUGAUAUGGAGACAGUAAUAAUAUGUGAACAUUACUGCAUUCUGUUGGAUUCGUGCAUAGGAACCUUGUUUAUGUUACUCCCUCCGAUCCAUAUUAAUUGUCGCUGCUUGAUUUUGUACUAGAGCAGCGACACGGAGGGAGUAAUUGCAAUUGCCGUCUCAAAUCAGAAAUGACAAUCAGUAUCGCCAGUUUUGAGAGAGAGGCAGUACAAUAAUAAUCUACUAUGUACUUUACAGCAAAAUCCAGUGUCUAGGUGUGGUAUUUCCACUAAUCUCAUCAUGUCUAGUGUGUUCAAGAAUUAAAUAGAACGACAGAGGCAAAGUAUUGUACAGUUGCAUUUUGCUGCAUAUGGUCGUGUAGUUACCAAGGUGCUGAAUGUCAACAUUCAAAUCACCAUCCCACCUUCUUCCAAGAUGGAACUUCCCAAUGCUCAUCAGACAAAAGAAUAUCUUACGCUGUUCAGCAAUUUAGACCGAUUGCGUUGAGAAUCACGCCAGUAGCUGAAGAGGCGGUAAGUUGCCGAGAUGUUUGUGCACUUGAAAAAUUGUUCGAAUCUUACUGGUCCCCAUAUGUUUCAUUAGGUUUCCAUUUAGAUAUAGCAUAAAGUACUCUCCCCUUCCAUCCUUGUAGCAGCCAGCCACAAUCUUCAACAGCAAAGAAUUCUUCAUGAUAAUGUAAGUUCUUCCUGUGUACUAUGUUCUUUAAGAUGGCUUGAUCGACAGGAAGCUGCUGGAACCCAGCCUUGAGGCACCUUGCUUGCCACUGCCUGUAAAUUUCUGGCCUCUGAGUUCUUUCUGCACCCUCACAUGCUAUGAUGUUAAGAGCAUCCUGCCCAAAUAGGAUCCUCUCAACCAUCUUUCUUGCUUCGUUAUCCCGUGGAACAUUUGCGUCAAGCAUGUCAAACAGUGAAGAGUAAUGGAGCAUAACCUCUUUGAAACGUUGUAUGAAGAAGGGAGAACUGAGUAACCCAUUCACGGUGCCAGAAAUAAAAAUCUUCGGGUUCAUCCUCCUCAUAGUUUUGAGCACCUUAUCCCUUGCACCAUUUACGGCAUCGGUUUCAUGACCGAGAUUCUUCAUCCGGAACAUGCAGUUCACUAUGAGAACUUCAUCCUCGUCAAUGUUAAGAUCCUCAAUUUUGAUAGUCUCCCAUCUUGAAGCGGCAAUGCCCUGAUACUGGAAAGGUACCUUGAACCUAUUUGUGUAAUCAGCCAACCGCUUCCUUGUCUCCUCGAUCAUUUCGCAGGGGUAGAAACCUGGCUGGGGAACGUCUAUACCUGUGAUCCGAAGCUUAGGGGCUCCCUCUUCUUGCUGUGCAAGUCUCUGAAUCAUUAAUGGCCACUGAAAGCCGAAGCCGAUGCCGAAAUCAACGAUGUGUACCCUUGGUUUCCCUUGUGAGACAUCAAGAAUAGCUUGGGUGGCAAAGUAGUAUAACGCCCUCCCAAAAGGGAAAGCUGGAAGAAAAAGGCUAUAAGCCUCUAACCAAUCUGCUGUACUUGUUCGCCUUUCCACGAGAUUGCGAUAAACCUGACUCCCGAUCCUAGCCAAGCGUGCCUUGAGGCCAUCCGCCAAGUAAAAUGCCAGUCUCUGAGUACAAUCAGCAUCUGCUGAAGAGUGUUGUCUUAUCUUUAAUAGCAGUUCACUGGCCAACAGGUAGCUGUCUUCUGCCACAGCUUGUGCGCAGUGGGUGAGGAGAGUCCGGAGAUCAACCAACUCUUUCCUCGGUUGCUUCCUACUUCUGCUCUGGCCUUUCAGUGAGGUCUUGUUUCCUUCCCCCGCCAUCCUUUCUUGCAGUCUUGUUAUUCGGUCAGAAUGACCAUAGCAUAGCACAACUUGGUCAAAACUUUCAUUUCGAAUUAUUGCACAAGUGGUGAUGGCAUGAUGUUCAUUGUUCCUUCCUUGAAAGAUAGCCCAACCCCUUGGGUCUGCCACCUCAAAAAUUGUGUUUUCGGUCCUCUCUCUUACUUUUUCCUUCGUAGUCAGUUGGGAAAUAUAAAGUAUGUUAUUCUUUGAAUAUAUCACCAGCUUAUCAAUACUUGGAGCAAACAUUCUUUCCUCCCUGACACCUCUCUGGCCAUGCAAGGCAGGGAGGCCAGAUCCGGAAGUCAAUCCGACACUUAUCGAUGACUGGUUUGGUAUAAAAGGACUCCUAUUGCAGAUAUAUGGACUCAACGGGGUUGCUAAAGGCUGUAACACGUUGUAACUGGAAUAGUCAUUACUGAAGCUAGUGUUCCAGAGCCUCUUGUAACGAUUGGUCCCACUCUUAUCAGGGUUGUCUGGUAUGUUUUUGCUAUGCAAUGGCGGCCAGUUAGUAGGCGGCGCGUAUCCCUCCCCAAGAAUGUCACGGAAUGGCUUCUCAGCAGCCUGAAGAGCAGCCCCUUGGCAUAUGCCGACCCCCUCGUCAACGUCUUCCAUCAGCAUCUGGCUUAUGUAGUGAAGAGCAUUGUUUGAUCUGAUUCGGUGGCGCUCAAGGCUACCCCCUGCAGCAAUCUGAAAUUUGUUUUGUCCAUGGCUGCUGUUGACACUUACUUGGUUGGCUGGGGAGAGAACUGUUGAGUGUGGACCACUCAGGUCGUAGUUGUGCACGGUGAGUUGCUGCUGGGAAGAGGAAUCACCAUCGUAUGGUUGGUCGGUUACUGCGAUGCCAUCCAGAUUGUCACGGAGAGGUUCAAUUGCCAUUCUGGAAAGUCUGAUUUCCACAUCAAUAUGAGAUAUAUGGUUAUUGUUGUCCAACAGCAAAUGAACCGGCUUGUUUCCUGGAAGAAGAAAAAAGGGAAAUAGAAGCUAAAUUAUGUGAGAUGAAUUUUGGUUCACCUUGCUCAUGUGCUACCAUCUAGAAUGCCCGUAAAACAGAGUUCUGCUUCUUCCUUUUUAUUUGAGAUUCAGCUUAUUAUUGUUUUGGCAUGCCUUUCUGAUCGAAAACAAAUUCCAAAGGCUUGCAGACACGAGAAUGAGCCGGUUAAACGUAGAAUCUAUGAUGCGCCUAAUACCACUGUUCCUUUUUAUUUGCAGGAGGCUCCUCAUCUGAUCUGAGCAAAGAGGCAAAGUAGGGAAGCACACACCUUGGUUAUUAAGCAGCAGCAGCAACAGAUCCAAUGCUUUGAGAGAGGAGUAGUGAGGGUGUGGACUAUGAAAGAUGAGUAGCGAGGUUGCGGUGUUGAUGUGAAGUAAAUUUGUCGUUCCUCUACCUUAUAGCUUUGUUCCCAACGUCAUAAGAUUGUGACAGAGAAUGGUCCAGAUUACAAGCAAUUACCCUGUCGAUUAGUCCUAGGCCCGGCCGCGCAUCAGACCUAUAAAAAAGGGUUUAUUAGGAGCGCUGGCAUGGGUUUUCAAUCAUUAUUAAGGUUCCUAAUUAAAUCGUUAAAGAAUCCAAGGUAAUCAAAAAAAGGAGAUGCACUAUUCAAAUAUUUUUUCUUUCUUUUCUUUUCCACUUGAUAAUUGAUAUAUAUAUAAUGGUAUUGGUUGAGUCUUUUUAGAGGAUAAUUUGUUGUACUUUAUCUUAUUAAAAUAAUUAGAUUUUUUU
RNAcentral lists this long non-coding RNA (15876 nucleotides) under Triticum aestivum (bread wheat). Its description in RNAcentral is "long non-coding RNA (TAES_LNC022486)". The record is from RNAcentral. Lineage: Eukaryota; Viridiplantae; Streptophyta; Magnoliopsida; Poales; Poaceae.